Molecule: ribosomal RNA, 1359 nt
Filed under: uncultured bacterium
Lineage: Bacteria
Description: bacterial SSU rRNA
Rfam family: Bacterial small subunit ribosomal RNA
Source: RNAcentral
GAUGAACGCUAGCUACAGGCUUAACACAUGCAAGUCGAGGGGCAGCAUGUUGGUUGCUUGCAACCGAUGAUGGCGACCGGCGCACGGGUGAGUAACGCGUAUCCAACUUGGCUUAUACUUAGGGAUAACCCGUUGAAAGACGGCCUAAUACCUAAUGGUUUAUAAUGGUUGCAUGACUGUUAUAAUAAAGAUUUAUCGGUAUAAGAUAGGGAUGCGUCUGAUUAGUUAGUUGGUGAGGUAACGGCUCACCAAGGCAUCGAUCAGUAGGGGUUCUGAGAGGAAGGUCCCCCACAUUGGAACUGAGACACGGUCCAAACUCCUACGGGAGGCAGCAGUGAGGAAUAUUGGUCAAUGGACGUAAGUCUGAACCAGCCAAGUAGCGUGCAGGAUGACGGCCCUAUGGGUUGUAAACUGCUUUUAUGUGAGAAUAAAGUUAACUACGUGUAGUUAUUUGCAUGUAUCACAUGAAUAAGGACCGGCUAAUUCCGUGCCAGCAGCCGCGGUAAUACGGAAGGUCCAGGCGUUAUCCGGAUUUAUUGGGUUUAAAGGGAGCGUAGGCCGUUUGGUAAGCGUGCUGUGAAAUUUAGAGGCUCAACCUCUACCGUGCAGCGCGAACUGUCAGACUCGAGUGCGUAGUAGGUAGGCGGAAUUCGUGGUGUAGCGGUGAAAUGCUUAGAUAUCACGAAGAACUCCGAUUGCGAAGGCAGCUUACCGUAUCGCAACUGACGCUGAUGCUCGAAGGUGCGGGUAUCGAACAGGAUUAGAUACCCUGGUAGUCCGCACAGUAAACGAUGGAUGCUCGCUGUUGGCUUUUAUAGUCAGUGGCUUAGCGAAAGCGUUAAGCAUCCCACCUGGGGAGUACGCCGGCAACGGUGAAACUCAAAGGAAUUGACGGGGGCCCGCACAAGCGGAGGAACAUGUGGUUUAAUUCGAUGAUACGCGAGGAACCUUACCCGGGCUUGAACUGCAGGAGAACGAUUCAGAGAUGAUGAGGUCCUUCGGGACUCCUGUGGAGGUGCUGCAUGGUUGUCGUCAGCUCGUGCCGUGAGGUGUCGGCUUAAGUGCCAUAACGAGCGCAACCCCUUUUCUUAGUUGCCAUCGGGUAAUGCCGGGCACUCUGAGGAUACUGCCACCGUAAGGUGUGAGGAAGGUGGGGAUGACGUCAAAUCAGCACGGCCCUUACGUCCGGGGCUACACACGUGUUACAAUGGGGCAUACAGAGUGUUGGUUGCAUGUAAAUGUAAUCUAAUCUUCAAAGUGCUUCUCAGUUCGGACUGGGGUCUGCAACCCGACCCCACGAAGCUGGAUUCGCUAGUAAUCGCGCAUCAGCCAUGGCGCGGUGAAUACGUUCCCGGGCCU